This 230-nucleotide ribosomal RNA is filed under the name uncultured bacterium. RNAcentral's name for it is "partial 16S ribosomal RNA". It matches the Rfam family "Bacterial small subunit ribosomal RNA", at positions 87 to 334 of the family's 1533-position model. The record is from RNAcentral.
CGGGUCUAGUGGCGCACGGGUGCGUAACGCGUGGGAAUCUGCCCUUGGGUUCGGGAUAACAGUUGGAAACGACUGCUAAUACCGGAUGAUGACUUCGGUCCAAAGAUUUAUCGCCCAGGGAUGAGCCCGCGUAAGAUUAGCUAGUUGGUGGGGUAAAGGCCUACCAAGGCAACGAUCUUUAGCUGGUCUGAGAGGAUGAUCAGCCACACUGGGACUGAGACACGGCCCAG